This 938-nucleotide long non-coding RNA is filed under the name Brassica rapa (field mustard). RNAcentral's name for it is "long non-coding RNA (BRAP_LNC004685)". The record is from RNAcentral. Lineage: Eukaryota; Viridiplantae; Streptophyta; Magnoliopsida; Brassicales; Brassicaceae.
UAAUGAAGUGAUGAACAAACAAAAAAAUAGAUUAUUUCAUUUAUGGAGUAAAUUUCGUUAUGGAGUGAGAUAUGAAGUUGGGUUAGAGCAUUUUUUACUCCAUAUUCACUUUUACUCUAUUUUAGAGGAAAAAAUGGAGUAUGGAUAGAGAUGCCCUAACGCCACAAUCAUAUAUAUAAUUUAUAAACUAAACGAUCUCCAAAAAGAAAUCAGAACAAAACAGAAUUACAAAUAUGAGAAAACAAAGAGUCAUAUACCCUUUUGUUAUAACACAUGAAAAAUAAGCACGAAUAUUAUUACCACGUGAAAUUCAUAAAACAAUGAGGAAACAAAACAAGUUUACGAGUUAAAAGAAAUCUUCAACAAUUUAAUAAAACACCUAAUCUUUUCUUAAUCACCCAAGUUGCAAACAAUUCGACUCAAAAAGCACUAGUCUACAAUUUAUUCCAAGCAAACACUCCAUAAACCAUAAACCAGUUUACAAAAAAAAAAAAAAAACACUCCAUAAACCAACAUAAAACAUCCAUUACGUUUAUCCUGUAAUUCUAUGAAAAUAAUAUUAGUGAAACUUCAAUAAUUAAUUUUCUUAAUUUUGUAAAUAUUAUCCAAUGAUUAUCCCGGCCCUUGUCAAAUAAAAACUCUGAAAUUGGGUGUUAUUUUUGAAUCUCGUAAAAUCAGCCGAAUAGUUUCCAAUGGUUGAAUAUUGUUUUUUUUUAACGUCUGCUAAUUAGGUUAGACCCAGUACAAAGGAGAAUGAGACCCAGUACAAAGGAGAAUGAGAAAACAGAGAAACAUUCAUACCUUCAAUUUUAAUAUAAAGAUCUACAAACUUAACAAAGCAGUUCUCUGAAGUUUGAAUAUUGUUUAGAAAUUAGAUUGUAGAUAUUGUCAGAGCAUCUCUAAUGUAUUACUGGAUUUUUAUUCUAAAAUGGUACAAC